This 253-nucleotide ribosomal RNA is filed under the name uncultured bacterium. RNAcentral describes it as "partial 16S ribosomal RNA". It matches the Rfam family "Bacterial small subunit ribosomal RNA", at positions 524 to 776 of the family's 1533-position model. The record is from RNAcentral.
UACGUAGGCAGCAAGCGUUGUUCGGAGUUACUGGGCGUAAAGGGUGUGUAGGCGGCUGGAUAAGUGUGGUGUGAAAUCUCCCGGCUCAACUGGGAGGGUGCGCUACAAACUGUCUGACUAGAGUGUGGGAUGGGAAAGUGGAAUUCCUGGUGUAGCGGUGAAAUGCGUAGAUAUCAGGAGGAACACCGGUGGUGUAGACGGCUUUCUGGACCAUAACUGACGCUGAGACCCGAAAGCGUGGGUAGCAAACAGG